CUUCAUUAUCACACUGUAUAACUGGACAGAUGGUUCCUAACGUCUGACUGUAAAGUAUCUGAGAUCUUUGAGGGGAUUAUGUGGAUUGAGGAUAUUAUUCUACAUAGUGUUGUACACCCAGACAACAAGUAAAUGUAGUGAAUAUACCGGAGGGUGUGCAUUUAGGGAAUGCAUUUCAAAGUGUCUAUAGUCACAGACGGCGCAGAUUCUAAUUGUAGCAUUCUGUUUUCUAGGUGAAAUUGAAACCCAGCGGUGUAACCCUUCAUGGUUUGACUAAAUGGGUGCCUCGACCUGGACCAAUGGACCGCAAGCCGGUGGUCUACUCUCAGAGCGCUAUCUAGGGAAGGCAGAGCCUACAAGCAGGGCAGAGCUCAACACCGCCUCCCUCAGUAAGUACAAGAACGUGAUUGACAGCUGUGGAGGAUGGGGGCUGUUCCAGGAGCUGCUGGUUGCCUUGGAGACGGUCGCCAGGGGCCACGGCUGCUCCAUCGCCAACGUGGCUACCCACUACGUCCUGGACCGGCCUGCUGUGGGUGGAGUCAUCGUGGGCUGUCAUCUCGGUGUUGCCGGGGCAGAACACAGAGGACAGCCUCCACGGCUGCAGCCCAGAAUUGGAACUCACGGCGCAAGACCUGCGCACCAUCGAUGGAGUGGUGCAGCGCUCGCGUGA
This 670-nucleotide long non-coding RNA is filed under the name Oncorhynchus kisutch (coho salmon). Its description in RNAcentral is "lncRNA (ENSOKIG00005023969.1)". The record is from RNAcentral. Lineage: Eukaryota; Metazoa; Chordata; Actinopteri; Salmoniformes; Salmonidae.